AUGCUAAAAGUUAUUAUUCCAACAAUUAUACUGUUACCAAUAACAUGACUGUCAAAAAAUUCUGUAAUCUGAAUUAACAUAACUAUUCACAGCAUAUUCAUUGGCCUCAUUACUCUACUAUUUUUUAACCAGUUAAACGAUAAUUCAUCUAACUUCUCAUUAACCUUCUUUCCUGACCCGCUAACGUCGCCCCUUCUAAUCUUAACAUCCUGACUACUACCUCUUAUAAUUCUAGCAAGCCAAUAUCACCUGUCCAAUGAAUCACUUCUAUGAAAAAAACUCAUUUCUAUAUUAAUUUCCCUAUAAAUUUUUUAGUUAUAGCAUUCACAGCCACUGAACUAAUUAUAUUUUAUGUCCUCUUUGAAACCACACUUAUUCCUACCCUAAUUAUCAUCACCUGCUGAGGUAACCAAACAGAACACCUCAAUGCAAGCUCAUAUUUCUUAUUCUAUACACUAGUGGGAUCCCUUCCCCUACUUGUCACGCUUAUCUAUACUCAAAAUGUCUCAGGUUCACUAAGUAUGCUAAUAAUGACGUUUACCACCGAAGAACUAUUAAAUGCCUGAUCUAAUAACAUUAUAUGACUAGCAUGUAUCUUGGCUUUUAUAGUAAAAAUACCUCUAUAUGGGCUUCACCUAUGACUUCCCAAAGCCCACGCAGAAGCUCCUAUUGCCGGCUCAGUAGUACUUGCAGCGGUACUCCUAAAACUAGGCGGCUACAGUAUCAUAGGGCUUACCCUUAUCCUCAGCUCCGUAACAGAAUACAUAGCCUACCCUUUCCUCAUAUUAUCCUUAUGAGGGAUAGUCAUGACAAACUCAAUUUGUCUACCACAAACCGAUUUAAAAUCACUAAUCGCUUACUCCUCUGUAAGCCAUACAGCACUUGUUAUUGUGGCUAUCCUCAUUCAAACCUCUUGAAGCUUUACAGGCGCAGUCACCCUCAUAAAUGCCCAUGGACUCACUUCAUCCUUACUAUUCUGCCUAGCAAAUUGGAACUAUGAACGAGUCCAUAGCCGAAUUAUACUACUUCUCCAAGGCCUUCAAACAUUGCUUCCACUAAUAGCCUCCUGAUGACUUCUAGCAAAUCUUACUAACCUUGCCUUACCCCCUACUAUUAAUCUAGUAGGAGAACUCUUCAUCACUAUGGUUUCAUUCUCCUGAUCAAACACCACCAUUAUGCUUAUAGGACUUAAUAUGCUAAUCACAGCCCUUUUACUCCCUGUGUAUGCUAACCACGAUACAAUGAGGAACACUUGCGUAUUACCUUAACAGUAUUAAACCCUCCUUUACAUGAGAAAAUACACUAAUACUUACACAUGUUGCACCUAUUUUCCUAUUAUCCUUAAACUCUAAAAUUAUUGUGGGAUUUGCA
Molecule: long non-coding RNA, 1371 nt
Filed under: Homo sapiens (human)
Lineage: Eukaryota; Metazoa; Chordata; Mammalia; Primates; Hominidae
Description: non-protein coding lnc-TEKT5-5:2
Source: RNAcentral